RNA transcript from Musa acuminata AAA Group (dessert banana), 1115 nucleotides. It is a transcript of the gene named anaphase-promoting complex subunit 10-like, with no coding region annotated. NCBI's taxonomy places the organism in Eukaryota, Viridiplantae, Streptophyta, Magnoliopsida, Zingiberales, Musaceae. The record is from RefSeq and is a predicted model, not a curated record. The transcript has 7 exons.
UUGAAAUAGAUUUCCGCAAAGCGUUUGCAGAAAGGGUGGGAAUAGGCGGCCAUGGCGACGGAAUCGGACGGGGAAGAGGAGACAGCGACGGCCGCGGGGAAGCUGACGGGGAGUCCUCAGCUGUCGGUUGACGACGAUCUCCGUGAGAUGGCGAAGAAGGCCGCGUGGAGCGUCAGCUCUUGCAAGCCCGGGAACGGCGUCCUCUCCCUCCGCGACGAAAACCUCGAUACCUACUGGCAAUCGGAUGGAGCCCAACCCCAUCUGGUCAAUAUCCAGUUUCAGAAGAAGGUUAAGCUGCAGCUGGUUGUCCUCUAUGUGGAUUUCAAGUUGGAUGAGAGUUACACACCAAGCAAGAUCUCAAUCCGUGCUGGUGAUGGUUUCCACAACCUAAAGGAGAUAAAAACUGUGGAGCUUGUGAAGCCAGUUGGUUGGGUCCAUAUCUCUUUGUCUGGUAAUGAUCCCCGGGAAACCUUUAUUCAUACUUUUAUGCUCCAAAUUGCUGUUUUAUCCAAUCAUCUAAAUGGAAGGGACACACACAUACGUCAAGUCAAAAUAUACGGGCCUCGACCGAACCCUGUUCCCCUUCAACCAUUUCAUUUUACUUCGAAAGAAUUCAUCACUUACUCGAUCCUUCGGUAACAAUCGUCCUUAUAGAUAUGCAGGAAGUGUGGAAGAUCAGCAGUCCUUCCUGGUGUGAGCACACUGAAAAACAAGAAUUUGUUCUAACAUUUUAUCUUGAAAUUUCCAGACAUAAUUUUGUGCAAAUUUCCGAGCUUUAUCUUGGUGCAAAAGCUCAACAAGAUUCUGAACCAAUUUACAGAGACCUGUUGGGCACAAAGGAUUUUGAUUCAGUCAAUGUUCAAGAUUCUAUGACCAUAAUGUUCUAACAGUGAUCUCCUCUGAUUUCAGACAUUUUACCUAAUAGAGAUAAUGGCAAUUAUAUUCUGGUCAAUCGCUGGGACAGCCGAAUGUGAAUGACCGCCUUGCACGAGGGAAUCAAAUGUUUACCUGUCACUAGUUGCAUUGAUUGAAGGAUGUUUUUUUAUACAAACAGUAAUAUAUUUGUUCUGUGACCUAAGUACAGUAUCUUCAUCCUGAUUUGUUUUUGUCCUCCA